Molecule: long non-coding RNA, 695 nt
Organism: Oncorhynchus tshawytscha (Chinook salmon)
Lineage: Eukaryota; Metazoa; Chordata; Actinopteri; Salmoniformes; Salmonidae
Source: Ensembl
GGGUGAGAGGUAUAGUAUCUCUGAUAUACAGGGGGUGAGAGGUAUAGUAUCUCUGAUAUACAGGGGUGAGAGGUAUACUAUCUCUGAUAUACAGGUGGUGAGAGGUAUAGUAUCUCUGAUAUACAGGGGGUGAGAGGUAUACUAUCUCUGAUAUACAGGGGGUGAGAGGUAUAGUAUCUCUGAUAUAGAGGGGGUGAGAGGUAUAGUAUCUCUGAUAUAUAUGGUGAGAGGUAUAGUAUCUCUGAGAAACAGGGGGUGUGAGUUAUAGUAUCUCUGAUCUAUAUGGUGAGAGGUAUCGUAUCUCUGAUAUACAGGGGGUGAGAGGUAUAGUAUCUCUGAUCUAUAUGGUGAGAGGUGUAGUAUCUCUGAUCUAUAUGGUGAGAGGUAUGGUAUCUCUGAUCUAUAGGAGGUAAGAGGUAUAGUAUCUCUGUUCUAUAGGAAGUGAGAGGUAUAGUAUCUCUGAUCUACGGGAGGUGAGAGGUAUAGUAUCUUUGAUCUACGGGAGGUGAGAGGUAUAGUAUCUCUGAUAUAUAGGAGGUGAGAGGUAUACUAUCUUUGAUAUACAGGGGGUGAGAGGUAUAGUAUCUCUGAUAUACAGGGGGUGAGAGGUAUAGUAUCUCUGAUAUAGAGGGGGUGAGAGGUAUAGUAUCUCUGAUAUAUAUGGUGAGAGGUAUAGUAUCUCUGAUAUACAGGGG